CGGGACGGGUGAGUAAUGUAUGGGGAUCUGCCUGAUGGCGGGGGAUAACUACUGGAAACGGUAGCUAAUACCGCAUAAUGUCUACGGACCAAAGCGGGGGACCGUCCGGCCCUCGCGCCAUCAGAUGAACCCAUAUGGGAUUAGCUUGUAGGUAAGGUAACGGCUUACCUAGGCGACGAUCCCUAGCUGGUCUGAGAGGAUGAUCAGCCACACUGGGACUGAGACACGGCCCAG
This 234-nucleotide ribosomal RNA is filed under the name uncultured bacterium. RNAcentral describes it as "partial 16S ribosomal RNA". It matches the Rfam family "Bacterial small subunit ribosomal RNA", at positions 100 to 334 of the family's 1533-position model. The record is from RNAcentral.